RNAcentral lists this long non-coding RNA (872 nucleotides) under Olea europaea subsp. europaea. The record is from RNAcentral. Lineage: Eukaryota; Viridiplantae; Streptophyta; Magnoliopsida; Lamiales; Oleaceae.
AAAAGUGUAAGUAGUCAAACAUCAAACAAAGUACCUCUCAUCCUCAUCGUCAAAUUAAAAUGUUCCCAGCCACGAUCCGGUGCUCACGUGGGACCAUCGGUCCACAUCCAGCCGCUGUCCUGUCUGGAUUCAUGCUGUCAAUUUGGCCCACCUGGUAUCCUCUCUUGUACCAUUUCCUCCGGUUCUCUCCAGUUUCUCUGUAGUCGCAUCUGGUUAUUCAGCACUUUCCUUGAGCUCUAUUUUGUAUAAUGCACCUUCAACUCAAUUGAUUACAGCCCAACGAAUGAUGUAUUAAGAAAAAAAUAGCAGCGACAGUCCAUAAUCUAUUAUUCUCAUUGCAUUCUCACACUCAACCUUUGAAACAAAACAUUUUGCUCCCAACCUUCUAAUUUUUGCUGCACCAAUAAUAUAUCUCUCUCUCACUCUCUCUCUUUCAUUUGAAUACUUAUAUAGAGCUUAUUUGGUGAGAGAUUUUGUUAAUUGAUUUUUUGACCGUUAGAUAUAAAAUGGGUCUUACCUGUGAAAGAAGAAUUCAAAAAUGACGACAAGAAUAGUGAAAUAACGAUCAAAAAAUUAAUUUUAAUUUACUUAACAUCCCUACCAAAGAAACGCAUAGGAAGAAUGACAAUGAGAAAACAAUUUCUGAGGUCUAAUAAAACUCACUCCAAUCAUGUCUGCAAUAAGGAGAGGAUUAAUAGAGUUGAAUGAUUUUUCUUAACAGUCAUAUAUUCAUCUUGCAUUUUUCUUGAGUUAGCGAGGUGUUUUGCUCAACUAUUGCACUUAAGUAGCACCAAUUAUCUCAAAAGAUGAUUUUAUGUCAAAAUUACCUUUCAAUGACAUGUAAGGCAUGUCCUUUUUUUGGGAUAAAUUAA